AAAAAGUUUAUGCCUGGGCUUUUCUGUCAAACUAAGAAUUCCGAUAUUACAACAGUUCUUUGAUGGUGGCAAAAGUAAAGCUUGUUUUCAUUCCUCAAGAUUUUUUUUAAAAAGAAUUUUAAUUACAUAAGCAGCUGAAAUCAUCAGAGAAUUUUUGACAACAAACAGGUUAUUUUUUACAACUGGUGCUGGUCUAGUAAUAUAUGUCAGAUUCAUGUGGAAACAAUUUGGUUUAUCUGACAGAAAUAUUAACUAGAUUUAAAAAGAUCUACAGGUUAUGAAGAUGCCAAAAGAAAUCGCGAACCCACGGGCUGGCCAUGAAAGAAAAUGAGAAAGAAGAGGGACUGGAGAUAAAUAACAGGAUGAGGUGUUUCACAACUCAGAUCACACUUCUGUGUCCUCCAAAAGCCCAAAUCUUCAGGUUUGUAUCCCAACUUCCUGUACAUAAGGCACUUCCGUCAGCUGACAGUCCCAGACAACUUAUUCGCCCUUCAUGUGAGUUUUGAACUGAUCUUAAGUUUAGGACCACCUUUGCUAAUAGGGUGUCCCACACGUAACAAUCACCAUUAGAGUACCCGACAAAGAGAAGACGGCCUGAGAUAGAAAAUGCCAUGGAAGUAACAUGAGGGAUGUCACCGUCACCAUGCGGUUGGUUGUAUACUUGCAGCUGGUGUCCAGUCCUAAUAUCAAAUAAUCUGCAGCUUCCAUCAUCUGAACCAGUUCCAAAUCUAUUACCAUCAGGGAAGAACUUUACAGUAUUGACAUCACUCUCGUGUCCAUGAAAUGUUCGUUGAGCUCGACUAGCAACUCGGGUGUCCCACAGUCGAGCAGUUGUGUCACAGGACCCAGACACAAACAGUCUAGGGUUAGAUGAACUAAUUGAGACACUUAAUACAUCUGCAGUGUGCCCAGAUUGAAACUCACCCCCAAACACAGAAGUUCUUAAGCCAGUAGUUAUAUCCCAAAGUACACAUGUUUGAUCACCAGAACUAGUUAUUAGGUGAGUAUCCUCAUCCGGAACAUACUGACACGAAGACACAUACCCCUUAUGCCCACUAAGCAUUCUCGAUACUGGAUGGAUCCCAUCCUUAUCGAUUGGUGAAUUUAAGUUGAAGAUAGAGCAGGCACUGUCAAGGCCGCCACAAGCAACAGACUGUCCACUAGGAGAGAAGGCACAGGUCAUAACCCAAGCACAUGGAAGCUUAAUUGCAUGGGUUUUCUGGCUUGUCAGAGCAUUCCACACUAUUAAUCUACCAUCUUGGGAUGCACUAACUAUACGAUUUUUUUCAGGAGUCCAGUCCAGUGAAUAGACCUUUCCAGUGUGUCCUUGCAGGAUCCUACAACAAACCAGAUCUGUUGGGCCGAACGUUACCGGAGUUUUACCUUGCGUCUUUGCAUACCCAGAAACAUCGGUGUCGAGUAAUUGGAGACGCUUCUGCUUAAGUUUUUCACGGAGAUCAUUUACAGUCUGUGUGGCGGCCAUGUGCCGCUCUUUCAGCUCCGCAACUGACAUUUCCUUAAGGAAAUUGAAACAUAAUUUUCACAAAAUUGCAAGAUUUUAUUUUUUGCUUGGAUUAGGGUUUUUGAAGAAGAAAGAGAAAGAGGAGAGAGAAAGA
This 1616-nucleotide unclassified non-coding RNA is filed under the name Hevea brasiliensis (rubber tree). Lineage: Eukaryota; Viridiplantae; Streptophyta; Magnoliopsida; Malpighiales; Euphorbiaceae. The record is from RNAcentral.